RNAcentral lists this ribosomal RNA (441 nucleotides) under uncultured bacterium. RNAcentral describes it as "partial 16S ribosomal RNA". It matches the Rfam family "Bacterial small subunit ribosomal RNA", at positions 338 to 795 of the family's 1533-position model. The record is from RNAcentral.
CCUACGGGUGGCAGCAGUGGGGAAUAUUGCACAAUGGGCGAAAGCCUGAUGCAGCAACGCCGCGUGAAGGAAGAAGGCCUUAGGGGCGUAAACUUCUGUCCUUGGGGAAGAAGCACUGACGGUACCCAAGGAGGAAACCCCGCCUAACUACGUACCAGCAGCCGCGUCAGUACGUAGGGGGCAAGCGUUAUCCGGAUUUAUUGGGCGAAAAGAGUACGUAGGUGGCAACGUAAGCGCAGGGUUUAAGGCAAUGGCUCAACCAUGGUUCGCCCUGCGAACUGGGAGGCUUGAGUGCAGGAGAGGAAAGCGGAAUUCGUAGUGUAGCGGUGAAAUGCGUAGAUAUUAGGAGGAACACCGGUGGCGAAGGCGGCUUUCUGGACUGUAACUGACACUGAGGUACGAAAGCGUGGGGAGCAAACAGGAUUAGAUACCCUGGUAGUC